Artibeus jamaicensis (Jamaican fruit-eating bat) is the source of this 3264-nucleotide RNA transcript. RefSeq lists it as uncharacterized. The record is from RefSeq and is a predicted model, not a curated record. Lineage: Eukaryota; Metazoa; Chordata; Mammalia; Chiroptera; Phyllostomidae. The transcript is spliced from 7 exons.
UGACCCGGGCCCGGAGGGUGUGGGGAAGCCGGUGUCCUCGCCUCGGUGCCCAGAGGGCGAAGGGGGUCCCGGGAGGCCAACGGCCCCCUCUCUCCUGGGGGAUCAGCCAGGGAACUGACUCCCUGAGGCCAUAAAACUGUUUCCCAGUGUGACUCUUGUGUCCUUUAAAGUCGUAGCGCACGGCACCGGGUUUUGAGAGCUAAAUGUAAGGCUAAUUCGGAACACGUUGGGCGCGAUAACUCCGAGUUCACGUUGUUAGUGGAGAUAAGCAGGAAGGAGCAGGUGCUUUUGAACUUACUUAUCAGCCUCUCCGCAGGCUCCGGGGCGCCGCGAGGCUCAGCAGGGUCUCGGGGAAGAGGCUGCCCCAGGCCCCGGGCCUCCGUUUCACCCGCCGACCUUUGUUCCCGGCGGGGGCGCGGGCGUUGGUCGCGGGGAGCCGCGCCUGGGCGCUGAGCCCCCCCAGCGGCGCCGGGAGCCUUCGGAGCGGGCCCUGCGGAGACUUUGCGUUUUAAGGUCACAUCCUGAUCUUGGCGAAGAAGGGGAGGCCCACGCGGGGGGCUGAGCACGAGGCCACCUCCUGGGCUGCAUCGCUCCCCUCCUGUCGCCCUGGCCCGCCAGCCUCUGCCGCAAAUGGCCCCGCCGCGCGGCCCAGACGACCAGUCCCCGGGGCCCUGAGAAGGCCUGCCUCUGGACGAGGACGUCAGCCCGGCUGGCUCUGCUGAAGUCGCUCAUCACCAGAUAAGUGACGCUCCUGCUCACCCCACCUACAGAUGGACACCCCUGGAUCCAACACCUCCAUUUCCAUCCCUGGUAACUGACUUCUGCUCAUGGCUUGAUGAGGACUGUGGAACAUGCCCCACCUAUGCAGCUCUGGAGGUAUAUCGGUGGACCCCGUUGACUGCCUUGCGGGCCGAGGCAACUGGCGCCCAACAUGGGGCCCCGCUGAUCGCCUGUGCGGACCGCUGUCCCCUUCGAUCGCAGCGUUUCGCCCGGCUCACCGCGACUACUCGACCGCGCGCCGGCAUUCCCUGAAGACCCCCGUUCCCCAACAGCGGCAUUUCAAAGGAAACAGAACGCACCGAAUAAACAUCAUUAUACUACUCGGAACACUCCCAUACCUAAAGACAGACGGAGGACGAGAAGGACCACCCCAAAACCCCUGCCUCACCCUAUUUGGACAACCCUGCGUCUGUAAAGGAAAAGAACUUUCCGAACACACCCUUUGGGGUGGACUUAACAGAAUUCUCCCCUACCCCCUUCCCCUCUUAGGACCUUUAGUUUCUAUCAUUCUCUUCCUCUCCUUUGCCCCCUGGAUUCUUAGACGUAUAACUAACUUAGUCAAAGACCAACUUAACAGUGUACUAGGAAGACCUAUUCAGGUACACUAUCAACAAUUAGAAAUGCUGGAACAAGGAGCGGACUCUGAGCCGUACAGCCGCUGGGGUGCUAGCCCACGAUUCCUGCCAGGUUCCCCUCCUGCGGGAGCAGCAUAACCCUCGAAGAUAUGCUUCACAGCCAAGUAGCUGUGAUAGACACCGCUGGGUGCAAGGCAAAGCACUGCAAGGAGAGGCCUGUACAUACGGCCACUUCGAGUCUCCUGAGAGGUAUAUCGGUGGACCCCGUUGACUGCCUCGUGGGCCGAGGCACUGGCUGACACUCAUCCCAAUCAGAAUAUUUUAAAACCAAUAAAAUAUCAAUAAUUAAACAUCCCAAUGGUGGUCUUACAGUAACGUUCAGCAGACACCUUCUCUCUCUCUGCAUCAGCGGGGGCCCGCACCAACGACCUCUCAUUUGGAAGUCCGGAAUAAGAGCGAAUGGGUAGAUAUCAGGACAGUGAGAAUGUACGACGGCAUCUUAGGUUGUGGAUACAGUAGAGCAAGCCAAAACAAAGACCAUUACUGAGACUCGACUAUGCUCACGGAACCAGCCCGCUCCUGCCAAGACCAUCAGGCUAAUUCUCAGUCUAACAAGCUGUGCUCAGAGGAGGAAAAAACCAGCACAUUUGGUCUACUGAGUGCCAGGCACUGUGCUCUGCAUUUUACUUAGCGUGUCACUAAAAAGUCACUGACCCCAGUGAAAUAAACUCCAUCCCCACUUUACACAUGAGGAAACAGGGGCCUAAAUACUUUGUCCACACCAGUAGACUGGGAUCCAAAAAGUCUGAGAUCCUGAAACCCAUGUUUUAGCGCCAUUAGAACUGGGCUCCCUGCAGAGUCCCACAUGAACUUCUACCACUGGGAGAAAAAGUCGGUCUGAAAAACCACAAACCUCUUAUUUGGAUCUUAGAGAAGACAGCUCAUGAACGAAUGAGUGCUCCAUUCACCUGACCCAAUUUAAACCCAAAUUCUUAUUUUUCAGGGAGCUACAGGGAUGCACUUGCCUGCAGUGAAACCAUGAACCAUAAAGCUCUUUCCUACAGUCGGACUGUCCCAGGGACUCAAGUAGAUCCCGAAACUCAUGGCAGCAGACUUCUCUGAGGCGGCGGUUUUCAACUGGUACGCUGCAAUUUUUAAACAUGCAGUACCUGACUAGUCAGGGGCCCUGGCCUCUUUUCCCCUAGACUGUCAACAAAAUGACAGCAGCCAACAGGACACUGGCUGUCUGGUGUGAACGCCACAUCUUGAACCAUAAUAUAGGUCACAUGACAGAGUUGUGACUUACUGGAUAAGUCUUGGUAACAGAAAUCCUUAGAUACAAGUAUGGGCACCUGAUUUUUUAAAAAGGCACUUUAUAGCACAAAGGGUAGGUAAUUACUAUUAUCAUUAUUGUUUUUGUAAAUCAAAAUUAUACCUUUUUUUGGUCAGAUUGGCAAAAUCUGUAUUUUCGGUGUGCCGCAGAAUUUUAGUAAUCAGUUUAUGUGUGCCAUGAGAUGAAAGGUUGAAAAAUCGCUGCUCUAAGGAAAAUUAAAAAAUUACAUUGUUCACUUAUGUAAUAUCACAGUGUCUUCAAAUUUUCGGUCCCUGAAUCACUUUCUUCGGGAUUAAGAUUAAAAAAGCAAAUUCUCUAGGAAAACACAUACACACCCAGCAUGGCUACUAGAUGCCGAUCACUGAUUAGCGGGUCACUUCCUGGAGCACAGCCAGGGUCCAGACCCAGCCAGCCUUUGCCCUGGAGAGCCACGCACGGCACACGUAUCUACCACUGUUGGGACCGACAAAAUGGAAGGUUCUAAGGCUUUACACCACUGCCCAACACUGAGCAGAUUCCACAUCAGCGCUUUGGAGGCAGCACGGGCAGCUUCUGAACAUUGCUACCCUUUCUCCG